RNAcentral lists this ribosomal RNA (468 nucleotides) under uncultured bacterium. RNAcentral's name for it is "partial 16S ribosomal RNA". It matches the Rfam family "Bacterial small subunit ribosomal RNA", at positions 28 to 507 of the family's 1533-position model. The record is from RNAcentral.
GACGAACGCUGGCGGCGUGCUUAACACAUGCAAGUCGAACGGAAAGGCCCUGCUUUUGUGGGGUGCUCGAGUGGCGAACGGGUGAGUAACACGUGAGUAACCUGCCCUUGACUUUGGGAUAACUUCAGGAAACUGGGGCUAAUACCGGAUAGGAGCUCCUGCUGCAUGGUGGGGGUUGGAACGUUUCGGCGGUUGGGGAUGGACUCGCGGCUUAUCAGCUUGUUGGUGGGGUAGUGGCUUACCAAGGCUUUGACGGGUAGCCGGCCUGGGAGGGUGACCGGCCACAUUGGGACUGAGAUACGGCCCAGACUCCUACGGGAGGCAGCAGUGGGGAAUAUUGCACAAUGGGCGGAAGCCUGAUGCAGCAACGCCGCGUGCGGGAUGACGGCCUUCGGGUUGUAAACCGCUUUCGCCUGUGACGAAGCGUGAGUGACGGUAAUGGGUAAAGAAGCACCGGCUAACUACGUG